RNAcentral lists this ribosomal RNA (1172 nucleotides) under uncultured Halomonas sp. RNAcentral describes it as "bacterial SSU rRNA". It matches the Rfam family "Bacterial small subunit ribosomal RNA", at positions 267 to 1431 of the family's 1533-position model. Lineage: Bacteria; Pseudomonadati; Pseudomonadota; Gammaproteobacteria; Oceanospirillales; Halomonadaceae. The record is from RNAcentral.
ACCAAGGCAACGAUCCGUAGCUGGUCUGAGAGGAUGAUCAGCCACAUCGGGACUGAGACACGGCCCGAACUCCUACGGGAGGCAGCAGUGGGGAAUAUUGGACAAUGGGGGCAACCCUGAUCCAGCCAUGCCGCGUGUGUGAAGAAGGCCCUCGGGUUGUAAAGCACUUUCAGCGAGGAAGAACGCCUAUCGGUUAAUACCCGGUAGGAAAGACAUCACUCGCAGAAGAAGCACCGGCUAACUCCGUGCCAGCAGCCGCGGUAAUACGGAGGGUGCAAGCGUUAAUCGGAAUUACUGGGCGUAAAGCGCGCGUAGGUGGCUUGAUAAGCCGGUUGUGAAAGCCCCGGGCUCAACCUGGGAACGGCAUCCGGAACUGUCAGGCUAGAGUGCAGGAGAGGAAGGUAGAAUUCCCGGUGUAGCGGUGAAAUGCGUAGAGAUCGGGAGGAAUACCAGUGGCGAAGGCGGCCUUCUGGACUGACACUGACACUGAGGUGCGAAAGCGUGGGUAGCAAACAGGAUUAGAUACCCUGGUAGUCCACGCCGUAAACGAUGUCGACCAGCCGUUGGGUGCCUAGAGCACUUUGUGGCGAAGUUAACGCGAUAAGUCGACCGCCUGGGGAGUACGGCCGCAAGGUUAAAACUCAAAUGAAUUGACGGGGGCCCGCACAAGCGGUGGAGCAUGUGGUUUAAUUCGAUGCAACGCGAAGAACCUUACCUACCCUUGACAUCUACAGAAGCCGGAAGAGAUCUCUGGGUGCCUUCGGGAACUGUAAGACAGGUGCUGCAUGGCUGUCGUCAGCUCGUGUUGUGAAAUGUUGGGUUAAGUCCCGUAACGAGCGCAACCCUUGUCCUUAUUUGCCAGCGGGUAAUGUCGGGAACUCUAAGGAGACUGCCGGUGACAAACCGGAGGAAGGUGGGGACGACGUCAAGUCAUCAUGGCCCUUACGGGUAGGGCUACACACGUGCUACAAUGGCCGGUACAAAGGGCUGCGAGCUCGCGAGAGUCAGCGAAUCCCUUAAAGCCGGUCUCAGUCCGGAUCGGAGUCUGCAACUCGACUCCGUGAAGUCGGAAUCGCUAGUAAUCGUGAAUCAGAAUGUCACGGUGAAUACGUUCCCGGGCCUUGUACACACCGCCCGUCACACCAUGGGAGUGGACUGCACCAGAAGUGGUU